AAAUGAAUUGACGGGGGCCCGCACAAGCGGUGGAGCAUGUGGUUUAAUUCGAUGCAACGCGAAGAACCUUACCUAGGCUUGACAUGAACUGGAAGAGUGGCAGAGAUGUCCUCGCUCGCAAGAGUCGGUUCACAGGUGCUGCAUGGCUGUCGUCAGCUCGUGUCGUGAGAUGUUGGGUUAAGUCCCGCAACGAGCGCAACCCUUGCCUUUAGUUGCCAGCAUUAAGUUGGGCACUCUAAAGGGACUGCCGGUGUUAAACCGGAGGAAGGUGGGGAUGACGUCAAGUCCUCAUGGCCCUUAUGUCUAGGGCUACACACGUGCUACAAUGGUGGUCACAGAGGGAUGCAAAGCCGUAAGGUGAAGCCAAUCCCACAAAAGCCAUCUAAGUUCAGAUUGAGGUCUGCAACUCGACCUCAUGAAGUUGGAAUCGCUAGUAAUCGCGGAUCAGAACGCCGCGGUGAAUACGUUCCCGGGCCUUGUACACACCGCCCGU
Molecule: ribosomal RNA, 493 nt
Filed under: uncultured bacterium
Lineage: Bacteria
Description: bacterial SSU rRNA
Rfam family: Bacterial small subunit ribosomal RNA
Source: RNAcentral